RNAcentral lists this ribosomal RNA (337 nucleotides) under uncultured Atribacterota bacterium. Its description in RNAcentral is "bacterial SSU rRNA". It matches the Rfam family "Bacterial small subunit ribosomal RNA", at positions 28 to 351 of the family's 1533-position model. Lineage: Bacteria; Pseudomonadati; Atribacterota. The record is from RNAcentral.
GACGAACGCUGGCGGCGUGCCUAACACAUGCAAGUCGAGCGGGGUGAGUUCUUCGGAACGAUCCUAGCGGCGGACGGGUGAGUAACACGUGGGUAACCUGCCUCAAAGUGGGGGAUAGCCUUUCGAAAGGAGGGCUAAUACCGCAUAAUAUCUUCCUCCCACAAGAGAAGAAGAUUAAAGAUGGCCUCUAUACUAUGCUAUCGCUCCAGGAUGAGCCUGCGUCCUAUUAGUUAGUUGGUGGGGUAACGGCCUACCAAGACCACAAUGGGUAGCCGGUCUGAGAGGAUGUACGGCCACACUGGGACUGAGAUACGGCCCAGACUCCUACGGGUGGCUG